This 217-nucleotide ribosomal RNA is filed under the name uncultured bacterium. RNAcentral describes it as "partial 16S ribosomal RNA". It matches the Rfam family "Bacterial small subunit ribosomal RNA", at positions 524 to 741 of the family's 1533-position model. The record is from RNAcentral.
UACAGAGGGUGCAAGCGUUAAUCGGAAUUACUGGGCGUAAAGCGUGCGCAGACGGUUGCGUAAGUCAGAUGUGAAAGCCCCGGGCUCAACCUGGGAAUUGCCUUUUAGACUGCAUCGCUUGAAUCAUGGAGAGGUCAGUGGAAUUCCGAGUGUAGAGGUGAAAUUCGUAGAUAUUCGGAGAACACCAGAAGCGAAGGCGGCCAACUGGCCCGAUACU